UUUUCAUAGCUUUUGCCCCAAAAUUUUCACGAAAAUUACCUUGAUGUACCUGACUUUAAAGUCAAGUUUUGAAAAUCGUAUCUACCUACUUUAGAAAAUUUCUCAAGAUAAUUUCCCUCCUUCCUGAUUUGUUUAUUUAUUCAGUUAAUAGGUAAAAUAUAAAUCUGGUGUUAAUAAUAAUAAUCAGUUACUAAAUUUAUCUGGGAAUUCAAUCUCUAAAAAACUCACUCAAGCAAAUAAGUUUCAGUGUAGCUGUUUUGUUAAGUUAUUUUACACUAAUUUUUUGUCAUAUUAAAAUAGCAGAGAAGAAAUAAAAUAUUUUGUGUUUGCCACUCGCCAGUAAAAAUCUUCUGAUUGGUAGGGUACCUUUGUAACUAAUAAAUUGGUGUUUUACCUAGAUCAAGAUCUCACCAUGCACUAUAAUUCUGCUGAAAUAGGCCUUUUUAUUCAUUGGUACAUCUUGCAGCCUUUUCACAGGUUCCUCUGCCGGAAGUAUACCGGUGGCGGCUAUGAUGUCAAUUUUAAGACUCUCUUCCCAGCUCUAGCAAGGUAUAUACAACAGUUCCCGCCUGGAGAAGCUGUCUUUCAAGCUUUGCCUCAUAUCGCUCGGGAAGCCUUGAAUGAUCCAAGGGCUGCCAAUGUUUUUGCAACGAGCAUUCGUAGCUACUUAUCCUCCACAAAGAUUGUGAAACGCACAACGGCUCCAAAUCACCCUCAUUGGAAUGCUAUUUUGCAGCGAGCAGAAGAACUGCACAGAUCAAACUACUCUACAUCAACUGUUUUUGCUAUCGUGAAUGGUGAACCUUCGAAACUUCCACAGCUUUUGAAGACUAUCGUGAGAGAGAUCUGCCUCCGUUUGCUCGUCUGCUGCGUCCGAUGAGGACAAGGCUCUAUGGAAUUUUGUUCCAUGAAAAGCCUUUAAUCUGGAGCCCCAGUUGUUCUGGAGUGGUGUAUGGAAGGGCCAAACAGUCUAAAUGAGCCAACACGAAUUAAGCCUGUGCCUCCCUCUGGUUAGUGUUUCAAUUAAUCGUCAAUAAGUUUAAUACUUUCAAGUAGCAGAACACAUUGACGGUGAAACUAUCAAAGCUUGUAUUUUGACUUUUAAUGGUCUUGAGUUAGCUGUAUGAAUGAGCUGUAGAAGAUGUCUUAUAUCCGUUAUCAAAAUCAUUUUUUAAAAUAAAUCCGGAAGUUUUUAAAAAUUGAAGUUCUUUUGACAUAAUUCUUGGAGCUUGUAUGUUAUUCUAUGGACUUCAUGGAAAACCAGUGCUCAUAGAAAAAUCAAAUGUAGUUCAUAAUUGUGAGUUGUGUCAAUUCUUGUAACUCCUACUGCCUCAGCAAUGCUGCGUGCACUAUGCAAAUGCUCACCGAUCAACCCCUAAAAUUGAGCCUAAUAUCGCAUCGAAAGUUUUUUUGAGAUUAAUGGCGGCUUCUGACAAGUUAAUUUAAGCUUGCAGUUCUAGACUACUCUAUUUUUGUCCUUAAGUCGAUCUUUAUAAAUCUUCUAAAAACUGACUCUAAAGCAUGAGUCUCAAUCCACUCGCAUAUAUCUUGUCGUAAAAUGGUGUUUCUUAAUUGCAAACCACACAUGUUGAGAUUAAUUGAAUUAUUUUACAUCUUCACCUGCACAUAACUAACCAACUAUCUAUUACAUCACUUAUACACCUAUCUCUUAACACAGUUAACUGCAGGUGAAUAAUUAAAAAUCAAAUGUAGCCUUGAACAUCUUCAACUUUCCUGAAAUGGAAAAGCUUCUUAUCCACUAUGGCUGUACAUCAUUGACACAGUCAAUGUGGGUCUAGCUGUCUUCUCAAAAGGAAAAAUGUCAAAUUUAUUUUACCAAAAAGAACUUAACCACCUUUUGCAUAAAAACUUCUUAAGCUUCAAGAAAAUCUAUUAGUAGUGAGCUUACAUACUUUUCUUUGAGUCAAUUGGCUCAGUGCAAAAUUCUGCAUUUUUUCACCACUAUAACUUUAACUGUUACAGCUGCGUAUUUUUUCCUAAAUUUCAGAUCCACAUCCUGGUUGCUUGCUCUUUGGAGCGACGAUAGGACCCAGGACUUACAGAAUGCCCGAUGGCAGCUAUUUGCUCAUGGUAUUUCAUCGCGUUUAAAUCCGGCAAAAUUGAGGCACCUGCCUCAAAAUUUGGUGCUACCUACAGCUGUGAUGUUUUACAUUGUUGUAAGUUAAUUUAUUUUAGAAAUACAUCUCCUCCCAGUUUUUUUUUAAAAACAUAAUUAUAUCCAAUACUGAUCGAACUUACUUUAAUACAUAAUGUAGGUCAUUCUUGAAUUACUUAUUCCUUUUAGUGACAUUUUCAUUUUUGGAAUGACUUUGAUAGAAUGUGAUAAUAUUUAGCAGAUGUAAGAUUUUGCGAGUUAUAAAGGUCUGCAAAAAAUUAAGGUGAAGAUUAGGUAUGGCAGAUCAACGGUGAAACUACCAGACCACUUAUCUCGUUUGCGGUGUUUGAAAAUCUCUGCUCCUAAUUUUUUUUUUUUUUUUGAAGGAGAACAAGUAAAUAUAAUUUCUUGAAAUUUUCACAUUAUUUUUCUUUGCACAGAGAAAAAAAAACAGGGAAGUUUUCAAGAACAAACUUUAAGUAGUUUUCCUUAUAAAAAAUAAAGUAUGACAAGAAGUCUACAAGGUCGCAAACCGAGAUACGUGGUCUGGUACUUUCACUGUCGAGAUCUAAUCUUCCAUAUUAUGAUUAAUGAUAUUACGGUUUUCAUGAAUUUUCCAAUUCUGGAUAUGAAAAAUAAAGUGGGGGGUUUUUCUUUAUGCCUUAUAAUUCUCCGGGAUAUUAAGAUUUACCUUUAGAACAGGUUUUUUCCAGAGAUUCGGCGCUGGAUUCUGAUAAAAUCAAAAUAAUUUCUCUCAUAUUUUUUGAAAAGAUCACUCGCAACUGUAAAACUUUGCCAUUUGCACCCUCAAACUCCUGCAUGUAAUUGUAGAGUAAUUUCUUAGAAAUCAGAAAGUGGGGAAAAAUGAAAAAUCAGUUAAUUUGUGUAGGACCUAGCACCUGCAGCACCAAUGGAACUUUACAGGUAAGGUUCUUUUCGUGCCUGUGUUCAGAAUAGGCCGUAUUUUUAGCAAUGAUAGGCUGAAUUGGACCGUGUUAACAGAAAGGAACCAAGCCACAUCAGCUAUUGCCAAAUUUAAUCCGCUAAUUUAAUUUUUUACAUGAAACAGUUGUGCGGAUUUACGUGCAAAUUUCAGUGAAUUUUCUCCAUGGUACAAAGCAAAUUCCUUAACAUUUUCAAGGGAUUCGCACAAACGUUUUCUCGUAAACAAUUAAAGUGCCCUGUUAAAAUUGGCAAUAACUGAUGUGGCUUGGUUCCUUCCUGUUUAACGCGAUCCAAUUAAGAUCCUUUGGCACCAAUUUCAGAUGAAAUUUUCAGCACUUUUUGGUUUUAAUGAAGUUAUCUCACAACUAUGAUAAAAGAACAUGAUUAUGGAAAAUCAGUGCACCCUUUUUUAUCUGAGCUAUUUUCCUGAACUUUUGUGAGCUCUUUCAAGCACCUACCUACUGACAAAACUGGAAUGCCUCAUUCCUGAGGUACACAUCCUCACUAGAUAAUUCAAGAAAAAAGGCAAAAUCCAAAAAAUUCUAAUUUGCUCUUUAUCCUCUGGCCAGUUUUCAAUCUCGGUAAAUAACAGCCUCUUUUGAAAUUUUAAUUAUUAUAGGACAACAGAAUUUUGGCUACAUGGGAAAUCGAAGCUAUGAUAGCAACAGUAGUGACUUUGCCGACAGUUCCACUUGAAAGACUGGCCAGUCUCCCUUCUGAUCCUGUAGAUUUGCGUGCGGUUCGCAUAGCCACAAUUUAUAUGCGCUCAUUGUGGUCCACAAUCAUUCUCCUCAGUGCAUGCGGCUAUCCCCUUCCCCAGCAAAGGUGAGUCAUUACUUUUUUUGAUAAUUUAUUAUUUUUAUUAUCAUUAACAUUGAAAUUCUAAGUGGUAAUUCAAAACAAGAUUCACGAUGUUUACAGAAUUUCUACAAAUUUACCUCAAAUAAAAAAUAAAUAUCUUAGCACAGCAUGUUACAUAUCGACGGUGAAACUACCAAACCACGUAUCUCGUUUGCGGUGUUUAAAAAUCUACGCUCACAUUUUAUUUUUUUGAAGUAGACCAAAUCAAUAUUCAUUCCUUGAAAUUUUCACAGAAUUUUCUCCGCACAAAGAGAAAAAAUCACAGAAAUUUUCAAGACUGGACGUUAAGUAGUUUUUCAUUUGAAAAAUAAAGUAUGACAGGAAGUCUGCGACGUCGCAAACCGAGAUACGUGAUUUGGUAGUUUCACCGUCGAUAUUAGCAUUCAUUUAAUAUGUAAAACUUGCAAAAACAUUCCUAGCCGCUAAGCUACCUUAUCCUUAGACGGCGCUUUGCACCCUCUUAGGUUUGCUUCGCGAACGUUUGUGAGUUCAUCUAGAUAGAGCAAGCUCAUCUAGGGACUCUCUUCUAUCGAUAUCGGGAAAAUUCAUGACGAUUGGCUCAGUAGAUCUUUAGAGCAAACUGUGACUAAAAUUGAAUAUUUACAAGGUUUAAGUAGGAGUAUUCACAAUUGUAUCAUGUAAUAUACAAAAACUUGGGUCAUAUUUCCAAAAAUAGAGUAGGCUCAUCCAGGGACUUUCAC
RNAcentral lists this long non-coding RNA (4623 nucleotides) under Bemisia tabaci. Its description in RNAcentral is "lncRNA ENSSSA1NGG013482". The record is from RNAcentral. Lineage: Eukaryota; Metazoa; Arthropoda; Insecta; Hemiptera; Aleyrodidae.